GUGGGGAAUAUUGCGCAAUGGGGGGAACCCUGACGCAGCAACGCCGCGUGCAGGAAGAAGGUCUUCGGAUUGUAAACUGUUGUCGCAGGGGAAGAAGAAAGUGACGGUACCCUGUGAGANAGUCACGGCUAACUACGUGCCAGCAGCCGCGGUAAUACGUAGGUGACAAGCGUUGUCCGGAUUUACUGGGUGUAAAGGGCGCGUAGGCGGGAUAGCAAGUCAGCCGUGAAAUGCCGAGGCUUAACCUCGGAGCUGCGGUUGAAACUGUUAUUCUUGAGUAUCGGAGAGGAAAGCGGAAUUCCUAGUGUAGCGGUGAAAUGCGUAGAUAUUAGGAGGAACACCAGUGGCGAAGGCGGCUUUCUGGACGACAACUGACGCUGAGGCGCGAAAGUGUGGGGAGCAAACAGG
Molecule: ribosomal RNA, 408 nt
Filed under: uncultured bacterium
Lineage: Bacteria
Description: bacterial SSU rRNA
Rfam family: Bacterial small subunit ribosomal RNA
Source: RNAcentral